Molecule: non-coding RNA, 89 nt
Organism: Phoenix dactylifera (date palm)
Lineage: Eukaryota; Viridiplantae; Streptophyta; Magnoliopsida; Arecales; Arecaceae
Source: RefSeq, a predicted model, not a curated record
GGGCGAUGAGGACAAACAGCGCACCAUGUGAUGCAGGGCUCAUCACGACUGUCAGAUUAUCAUCUGACAAUAACAGCGUAUCUGAGCUC